This 802-nucleotide long non-coding RNA is filed under the name Homo sapiens (human). RNAcentral describes it as "HSALNT0297949". Lineage: Eukaryota; Metazoa; Chordata; Mammalia; Primates; Hominidae. The record is from RNAcentral.
CGUCCGUUGGUCCGACCGACCUCAGCGUUCUCCUCCUCUCGGCAGCUGCAGCUCUCCCAGUUGGAGACUCCGCCGCUGGCACCGCUUUAGCGUCCGGGGGCCGCUUAUAUCUUUUCUCUGAGACACGCCUCCUGGGCUCUCCGGCCCAGGCCAGCGCGGUCAGAGCCAGGGGAACUCGGAGGGGGAGGAAGAAGAGGAGGGGAAAAGGAGGGGGUGGAACCCGGCUGGGACCUGGCAGGAGGUGGCCACGCGCUGAGCACGCUCCGACUGUGUGAGCUAGGGGGCCCGGCGCGGGUGCCAUCGCAGCGGGGCGCGUGGGAAGGCCAGUGUGCACGCGAAGGUCCCACUCCAGGCGAGCGCAGGGGAGGACCCGGAGCCCAGGGAGGUGUCCGCGGACAUCUCUGACAUGGCGGCAACCUUCUUACUGGUGUCAGCGGCUGGACCCUGGGUACCUGGCUGAAGACUUUGGACUUUAACCUGGAGAUGAUGGAGAGUAUGCAGGAUAAAGUCCAUACCAAAUCCAACGCCUAGCAAAUGGAGAACAAGCCAAAACUAACAAGAUAAAAUGUAGCAGGAAAAAGUGCAAAGAGCUGAAGUGUGGAAUAAGUGGGAGAGGUCUGCCAUGCCCUAUCUGACCUUGCUGCCAUGAUCUUUAAGGCUGUGUGUCCUGGUUGGUGCAGCUACAAGAUGGCAGAAAUGCCUAAGUGAUGGUAUGGAACAGAGGAUCCCUCUUCUCACCAUUGUCUUGCAUGUUUCCUUGUGUGAACCACAAAUAAACUUUUGUUAUGUUAAGCUGCUGAGA